RNAcentral lists this long non-coding RNA (599 nucleotides) under Rattus norvegicus (Norway rat). RNAcentral's name for it is "long non-coding RNA NONRATT013988". The record is from RNAcentral. Lineage: Eukaryota; Metazoa; Chordata; Mammalia; Rodentia; Muridae.
GCGGCGGCGGCGGCGGGCUCCUAGAGAAUGCUAACCCCCUCAUCUAUGAGCGAUCGGGGGAGCGGCCGGUGACGGCGGGUGAAGAAGAUGAGGAAGUGCCGGACAGCAUCGAUGCCCGGGAGAUCUUCGAUAUCCGUCGCUGCUGGGCGCUGGUGGGACAGUGGGGGCUUGGCGUAUCGGGAAGAAGUGAUGUGCAACACGCUGGUGGAAGGGUGUCCGGGUUAGGCGAGCCCGCAGAGAUUUUAACUGGGCCAAAACUUAGAGUUCCUUUUCCUUCACUUGGCACAUCUUAUUCGCUCCAUUAAUGACCCGGAGCAUCCACUGACACUGGAGGAAUUGAACGUAGUAGAGCAGGUUCGAAUUCAGGUUAGCGACCCGGAGAGCACAGUAGCAGUGGCCUUCACACCCACCAUCCCUCACUGCAGCAUGGCCACACUUAUAGGCCUUUCUAUCAAAGUCAAGCUUCUGCGAUCCCUUCCCCAGCGGUUCAAGAUGGAUGUGCACAUUACGCCGGGCACCCACGCCUCAGAGCAUGCAGUGAACAAACAACUUGCAGAUAAGGAGCGAGUGGCAGCUGCCCUGGAGAAUACCCACCUGCU